GGGAGUUCAGCAUCUUUCAGGGUAAGGAUUUUUAGAUCUGUACCUUUGUUCCCCAAAGAGGUAAAUGAAUAAUGAAAUCUCCCUGCAGUGUGAACAGCUGAACUUAAUAUAGAGGAAAUUUCUCAAAGAAGUGCCCUGGUGCCUAGCAAAUGUGCCUGUCAAAAAGGGUUGCUCCUUUCUGGGUAUUUGUUUUAGCAAGUCCCAGCCUACAGGAUUACACAGAGUGGCUGAGGAUAGAUUUCUGCUUUAAGCAGGUUUUCAUUUUGUAGCUUUGAAAAUUACACUUUUCAUUAGCAUAAAUGUGACAGCAGAUUAAAGAAUGAAAUUCUAUUUAACAAAAAGAACUUCAAGCUAAUAAUUCUUCAGAUAACCAAGAUACGAAGUUCCAAAGAUCAGCACAAUUUCUUCUAACAGGGUCUCCAUGCAAAGAACAGAAGUCACACUGUGCCUGCCAAAGUCCAGAAGCUUUCCUGCACUGUCAGGCACAUACCAUGUCAAGCAUCCAAGCAGUUGGAGUUGAAAGAAGAAAGAGGGGAGAAGGAACGAAUGACAAGCAGAAUAUAAUUUCAUUAAAGCACACCACUGUGAGAAUUCUCAGCACUGUGAGAGUACAAGGCAGGCUAAUGGGUGAAAUUCAGCCCCACUGCAUAGGGUCAGUCUGGAGGAAGAUCUGCCAUCGACUUCAGCUAGCUGACCCUGACCCCUCCAUCAAUCCAAAGCAGGCUUCAUCUUGAAGUGCCAUCAUUCUUGGCUUUCUUCUGUCAGGAUAGUUCAUAAGUCAGCUGUAGCAAUUUGCUAUUAAUUUGCUUCUCAAUUAUCUCAUAUUAUGAGCAAAUCAUGUACAUGAAAGGAAAAUUAAUAAAUCCUCACACGUCACACUUUGCUUUCUGCUGUUCUUACUGAUUCUUUUUUCUAGCUCCUAUGACUCAGCUCAGUCUGAUCUCUACUUCUGUCUUGUGCAGAGAGCUGCAGACCACACUUCCACAACGCAGCCAACCUACACAGUGUCCUCACUUUCACAAGGAGAUGCUCGUGUAAACACUGGCAUACAAGUAAUCUCCUUUCAUUUUG
RNAcentral lists this long non-coding RNA (1071 nucleotides) under Gallus gallus (chicken). Lineage: Eukaryota; Metazoa; Chordata; Aves; Galliformes; Phasianidae. The record is from RNAcentral.